This 465-nucleotide ribosomal RNA is filed under the name Vreelandella stevensii. RNAcentral's name for it is "partial 16S ribosomal RNA". It matches the Rfam family "Bacterial small subunit ribosomal RNA", at positions 338 to 795 of the family's 1533-position model. Lineage: Bacteria; Pseudomonadati; Pseudomonadota; Gammaproteobacteria; Oceanospirillales; Halomonadaceae. The record is from RNAcentral.
CCUACGGGAGGCUGCAGUGGGGAAUAUUGGACAAUGGGGGGAACCCUGAUCCAGUCAUGCCGCGUGUGUGAAGAAGGCCCUCGGGUUGUAAAGCACUUUCAGUGAGGAAGAACGCCUGGUGGUUAAUACCCAUCAGGAAAGACAUCACUCACAGAAGAAGCACCGGCUAACUCCGUGCCAGCAGCCGCGGUAAUACGGAGGGUGCGAGCGUUAAUCGGAAUUACUGGGCGUAAAGCGCGCGUAGGUGGCUUGAUAAGCCGGUUGUGAAAGCCCCGGGCUCAACCUGGGAACGGCAUCCGGAACUGUCCAGCUAGAGUGCAGGAGAGGAAGGUAGAAUUCCCGGUGGAGCGGUGAAAUGCGUAGAGAUCGGGAGGAAUACCAGUGGCGAAGGCGGCCUUCUGGACUGACACUGACACUGAGGUGCGAAAGCGUGGGUAGCAAACAGGAUUAGAUACCCCAGUAGUC